RNAcentral lists this ribosomal RNA (324 nucleotides) under uncultured eukaryote. RNAcentral's name for it is "partial 18S ribosomal RNA". It matches the Rfam family "Eukaryotic small subunit ribosomal RNA", at positions 1470 to 1796 of the family's 1831-position model. The record is from RNAcentral.
CCCUUAGAUGUUCUGGGCUGCACGCGCGCUACACUGACACACUCAACGAGUUUCAUCCUUCCUUGACGGAGACGUCUGGGUAAUCUGUGAAUAUGUGUCGUGAUGGGGAUAGAUCAUUGCAAUUAUUGAUCUUCAACGAGGAAUUCCUAGUAAACGCACGUCAUCAGCGUGCAUUGAUUACGUCCCUGCCCUUUGUACACACCGCCCGUCGCACCUACCGAUUGAAUGGUCCGGUGAGAUCUCGGGACGGCGGCUUGGUCGCUUGCGUCCGACUGCUGAAACUUGAUUAAACCAUAUCAUUUAGAGGAAGGUGAAGUCGUAACA